RNAcentral lists this ribosomal RNA (468 nucleotides) under uncultured bacterium. RNAcentral describes it as "partial 16S ribosomal RNA". It matches the Rfam family "Bacterial small subunit ribosomal RNA", at positions 28 to 507 of the family's 1533-position model. The record is from RNAcentral.
GACGAACGCUGGCGGCGUGCUUAACACAUGCAAGUCGAACGGAAAGGCCCUGCUUUUGUGGGGUGCUCGAGUGGCGAACGGGUGAGUAACACGUGAGUAACCUGCCCUUGACUUUGGGAUAACUUCAGGAAACUGGGGCUAAUACCGGAUAGGAGCUCCUGCUGCAUGGUGGGGGUUGGAAAGUUUCGGCGGUUGGGGAUGGACUCGAGGCUUAUCAGCUUGUUGGUGGGGUAGGGGCUUACCAAGGCUUUGACGGGUAGCCGGCCUGAGAGGGUGACCGGCCACAUUGGGACUGAGAUACGGCCCAGACUCCUACGGGAGGCAGCAGUGGGGAAUAUUGCACAAUGGGCGGAAGCCUGAUGCAGCAACGCCGCGUGCGGGAUGACGGCCUUCGGGUUGUAAACCGCUUUCGCCUGUGACGAAGCGUGAGUGACGGUAAUGGGUAAAGAAGCACCGGCUAACUACGUG